GAUCAUGGCUCAGAUUGAACGCUGGCGGCGUGCUUAACACAUGCAAGUCGUACGCGAAAGGGACCUCGGUCUCGAGUAAAGUGGCGCACGGGUGAGUAACACGUGGAUAAUCUGCCUCUAUGAUGGGGAUAACAGUUGGAAACGACUGCUAAUACCGAAUACGCUCAUAAUGAACUUUAUGAGGAAAGGUGGCCUCUGCUUGCAAGCUAUCGCAUAGAGAUGAGUCCG
RNAcentral lists this ribosomal RNA (228 nucleotides) under uncultured bacterium. Its description in RNAcentral is "partial 16S ribosomal RNA". It matches the Rfam family "Bacterial small subunit ribosomal RNA", at positions 15 to 233 of the family's 1533-position model. The record is from RNAcentral.